GAAUAAACUUGGUUUAGGCUGUUGCUGGCUCUUCGGAGCAUGUGCACGUCUAUUCCGACUUUAUACCCACCUGUGCACUUUGUGUAGAUCUGAAUACCUCUCGAGGGUCACUCGGUCAGAGGAACUGCCGUGCAAAAUGCCGGCUUUUCUUCACAUUUCAGGUCUAUGUUUUCAUAUACUCCACAUAAAGUAUCAGAAUGUCACAAUUAGGCACAUGCCUGUAAACAUAUAUACAACUUUCAACAACGGAUCUCUUGGCUCU
Molecule: unclassified non-coding RNA, 262 nt
Filed under: rhizosphere metagenome
Description: partial ribosomal RNA internal transcribed spacer region
Source: RNAcentral